UGGGGGAUAUUGCACAAUGGGCGAAAGCCUGAUGCAGCGACGCCGCGUGGGGGAUGAAGGCUUUCGGGUUGUAAACCUCUUUCGCUAUCGAACAAGGCCCGCUUAGGGUGGGUUGAGGGUAGGUGGAGAAGAAGCGCCGGCUAACUACGUGCCAGCAGCCGCGGUAAUACGUAGGGCGCGAGCGUUGUCCGGAAUUAUUGGGCGUAAAGGGCUUGUAGGCGGCUUGUUGCGCCUGCUGUGAAAACGCGGGGCUUAACUUCGCGCGUGCAGUGGGUAAGGGCAGGCUUGAGUGUGGUAGGGGUGACUGGAAUUCCAGGUGUAGCGGUGGAAUGAGCAGAUAUCUGGAGGAACACCGAUGGCGAAGGCAGGUCACUGGGCCAUUACUGACGCUGAGGAGCGAAAGCAUGGGUAGCGAACAGG
RNAcentral lists this ribosomal RNA (420 nucleotides) under bacterium. RNAcentral describes it as "partial 16S ribosomal RNA". It matches the Rfam family "Bacterial small subunit ribosomal RNA", at positions 355 to 776 of the family's 1533-position model. The record is from RNAcentral.